GCAGGGCUCCCCCGGCCCUGACUCCCUGCAGGGCCCAUGCUCCCCAGCGUGGGCCUGCAGGCUUCCCAACAGCGGGGGCAGCGGGCAUCCAGCAGUUCAGGACAAGGCGGGCUGAGUGAACCAAGUCAGCAAGGUUUCCUGCGGGACUCUGUGCGUCCCUGACGUGCUAACCUUCCCGUAAGUCUCUAGGAAAGGGGGUUACGUGAGUGCUGCGGCGUCCGUCUGUCUGGGGGUAUGCGGUACAGGGGCUCAGAUUCGCGCCCCUUCCUGUCUGUUCCCUCUGCCUCCGUGCUAACUGGAAUCCUCCACCCCACACCUGGGCUUCUGAGAAAGGUUCCUGAACUGAUCUUGCUUCAAACUCCCCUCCAUCAAUUCGGCCUAGAUGUCCCUGCCGUAACUCCCAAGGGCGUCAUUUCACUCCACUACGUAGGAACUGGCAAUGGCGCCAACUCCAAGCCUCUCCGCUCCCCCAGAGCUUCUCAGCAUCCUGCACACUCCAGGAACCAUGACAACAUUGCCUGUUUUAGUAUUUUGCAUAUUCCAGGCUGGUGCUGUGGUGCAGCGAGUAAAGUCGCCACCUGCAACGCCUGGCAUCCCACAUGGGCGCCAGUUCAUGUCCUGACUGCUCCACUUCCAAUUCCAGCUCCCUGCUAAUGGCCCUGACUCCCUGAAGUAGAAGACGGCCUAAGUGCUUGGGUCCCUGCACCCAUGUGGGAGACCAAGAUAAAGCGCCUGGCCUUGGCCUGGCCCAGCUCUGGCCGUUGUGGCCAUCUGGGGUGUGAACCAGUGGACAGAAGACCUUUCUGUCUCUCCCUAACUCUUUCAAAUGUAAAGAAAUAAAUCCUCAAAAAAAAUACAAAAUAAUUUUUAAAUAUAUCAGAUGACUACUUCUACAGCUUCUUCAGGUUGUCCAUGGAACCUUUCCUGACCGCUCCGUGAAACAGGAGGGAGGCUGGGAGGACCACACACAUCUGAGUUCACAGGCAAGCACCACAACACCGAGACGUAGCCUCCAGGCCUGGUACCUCAUCUGCAAACAUGGGAACAACUCCUCUUACUGGCCACUAAAUAACUCGGUUGUUUUCAUACAUGGCCAACCCAUAAGCAAGUUCCCGGAGCGAAAGGCACAGCUCCUCUGCUCUGAAUCCCUGAGGCAGGCACAGGCAACUGGACAGCACGCACUGGCCAAGCCCGCCGAGCUGAAAUUAGCUUCCUGCGCAUUCUGGAGGAGCCAGUGGGGCCCGGCGCACUUGCCACGCCAGUACUUCCACUUUUACUUUAGCCAUCUAGUGCCAAGUGUGCUAGCUGCCUUUAUACACGUUUUAUCUCUUAGCCCUUCCAACAACCCUGAACUGUAAACAAGGAAGCUGAGGAGCAAGGUCACGGUGACUUGCACAGUCACGCACGGUGAGAGGCAGGGCUGGGACUCAACCUCUACGCCCACGACGGCCCUCACCAGUCCACUGCUCCCGGGGAAUUCCUCGCGACCCAGACUUUUAAAAGGAAGUCCCCUCUGCAAACCUCUGUUCAGGACUGUCAGACGAUUCCCACAGAAGUCCUGGGCUAUGAAGAGAGCCUCUGAUUUUGGUCAUCACAGCCAGAGGUCAGAGCCACGAAGACCGGAGGUGAUCUAAAAGACGGGACCGGGCAGAGGUGACCUGCCCCGCACCCACACAGGAGAACCGGAUGGGGCUCCUGGCUCCUGGCUCCUGGCCUGGCCCCGCCCUGGCUGCUGUAAGCACCUGAGGAGUGAAUCAGCAGAGGCAAGACCUCGGGACCUAGUCCAGGUCUCCACUACUGUCUACACCCUCCGAUCAACCCUGAUCCUCCCGCGUGAUCGCUGCCCAGUGAUGACUCUGGAUUUUAACGAAAAGGGAGAUGAGGAGGCAUUUCGCAAGAUCCUUUUCCUCCUUUUGAGCAGGUACAAACAGACAUGAAUUAAAAACUACGGCUUGGGACUUCCUGCUACGUUCCUGAAUGAAGUACUGAUCACCGGGCCAGGCACACGCAAGUGCUCUGUGGUGCUGGCUGUUACUGCCGCGGCUGCGGCUACUGUUACUGCUAUUGCCACUACUACUAUACUACUACCAUUACUACUACGACUACUUCUACUUGUGUCUGGCCCCUGGACAAGACAUUCAAAUCUUCAGAGUCCAAUAUUGAACAGUUCCCCUUCUCAAUGUAUAACCACCACACUUCACUUUUUAAAUGUGGCCCCUCCCACCCGCUCAGGUCCCUUCAACAGGGAGGCUGGACUCUCCCCUCCCACGGGGAUGCUGCGUGCUCACCAAUAUCCUUAAGCUUUUUGUUCCUAUCAACAUGCAUUAUGGAUUUUUUUUUCUGCUACCAUACUCGUUUUCACCUAGUUAGAUUUUAGUAUUUAUUUAUUUGAAAGACAGAGUUACAGAGAGAGAAGGAGAGACAGAGAGAUCUUCCAUCCACUGGCCCCUCUUCAAAUGGCCGCAAUGGCCAGGGCUGUGCCAGCCAGAAACCAGGAGCCCAGAAUUCCAUCCAGGUCUCCCACCUGGGUGGCCAGGACCCAAGCACUUGGUCCAUCUUCCACUGCUCUCCCCAGACACAUUAGCAGGGAGCUGGAUGGGAAAUGGAGCAGCCGGGACUUAAACCAGUGCUCAUACAGGAAGCUCGUGUCACAGGCAGUGGCUUAACCCACCACGCCACAAUGCUGGCCCUUAGUUACGAUUUUCAUAGCUAUUUUAUUUGAGGGACAAAUGCUUAGCUGGCUGCAAGAACAGAUGAUCAUGGAAGAACUGGGAUGAGCCUAGUGAAAAUAGCUGGGGUUUGAGCACUUUCAAAACAGCCCACCAAAGCUACUCCUGCAUCGCUUUAUCCCUAGGACCCUUUCUCUCUCUCUUUAAAACUGACUUAUUUAUUAAAUAGGCAAAAGGACAGAGAGAUCGAGUUUAAGUGGCCGCAACAGCGAGGUCUGUGGGCCCUGGUGGCGUGGGCCCAAGCACUUCGGCUUCAUCCACUGCCUCCUAAGGCACCUUAGCAGGAAGCCGGAUCGGAAGCGGAACGGCCACACUCAGAAUGGCAUUCAGAUACGGGAUGAUGUGUCACACGUGGUGGCUUACCCCUGCCCACUGUACCAUAACACCAUCCCACAACCCUUCUUUUUCAAAGCUCAGACAUGUGAUAAGAUGUAUGAGGUCGAAUACCUACAUCUAGACACGUACACAAUGACCUCGUCCAGUUUGAUCUUUCCUCCAAUUUCACAGGUUGAAACAGAUCCUCCUCAAGCCAGGCCUCUUUACUGUUACAGAUGUGACCGCUACGCUUCAACUCCGGACCAGGGGGCUGGUGCUGCGGCACAGUGGGUAAAGCUUCUGCCUGCGACACCAGCAUCCCACACGGCCACUGGUUUGAGACCCGGCUGCUCCACUUCUGACCCAGCUCCCUACUAACGCACCAGGAGAGGAACGGAAGGUGGCCUGAGUGCUUGGACCACAUGUGGGAGACCCAGAUGGAGUUCUGGGGUCCUGGCUUCAGCUUGUUGCAGACAUUUGGGGAGGGAACUGGCUGAGGGAAGAUCUCUGUCCCUAACUCUGCCUUUAAAAAAAACCUUGGGGGCCAGCCCUGUGGUGCAGUGGGUAAAGCUGCUGCCUGCAGAGCUGGCAUCCCAUAUGGGUACUGGUUCUAGUCCCGGCUGCUCCACUUCCAAUCCAGCUCUCUGCUAUGGCCUGGGAAAGCAGUAAAAGAGGACCCAAGUCCUUGGGCCCCUGCACCCAUGUGAAAGACCUGGAAGAAGCUCCUGGCUCCUGGCUUCAGACUGGCCAAGCUCUGGCCAUUGCAGCCAUUUGGGGAGUGAACCCGUGGAUGAAGAUCCCUCUCUGCCUCUAACUCUCUGCCUUUCCAAUAAAUAAAAAAAGACUUUUAAAAAAAUCCAAUAAAUCAAUCUUCAAAGAAAAAAUAUCGUGAACCAAGGCUCUUUAGCCCAGAUCUUUCUCGGUUCCUAUUAUUUCUAUUUCAAACGUGAGUCGCCGUCUAUCUAAACCUCCAUUUCAGCUCUGCUCUGCCUUUGCAUUUCUCCUUUUAUCUGGCCACAGUUCAACUGCCGAGAUGGACUUCCUCCCAACAAACUGCCCAACAUUUCUCCACUCAGCGGGCGUCUGCAAAUCGGCGCGGAACUGGGGAUCUGAGCACUCGCGCAGCUGGACGCGCCAGCAUCGCUCCCUUCCCUGCAGCUCCAAGCACAUUGCCUUUUCACUUUCAAGCUGCUCCGAAUCCCACGGCUCUCGCUUCGCGGGGCCAGCGCCCGGCUCUGCUGCAGACCCGAGAGGCCCCAUCCUACCCAGCCUGUUUCUCCGCAGUGCCUGGCAGUGCCUGGCACCCUGCGGGCAGCUGGUCAGUGUCUGCUUAACACAUUCCCCCCUCCCUCCCUCUGGAUUCGUCUCACCCCUGUCGCUCUGCCCGUCCACACAGACUUUCUCCACACCAAACACCCGCCACGGAGCUCCACGAGUGGGACUCUUUCGUAUGGCUUUGCUGAUGGGCUCGGGCGAUCUUACACUGUGCUGAGAAGGGAUUCGGGAUGCAGUGCAACUCGCCAGGGUGCUGAGGGGACAGGACCCCGGCUCCCUGCGGUGUCGGCAGCUCUGCAGCGUCCCUCCCCGGAGGGAAGACCCAGUUCAAUUCCUGCUGUCUCCACAAACACGCGGGGGUCCCAGCUGUGCAAUGCACGUUCAACCGUGAGUGGUCUCACCGUGCCCAAAACUUCCCUAGUGAGCACCACUGGAUACACAGAAUCUCACCCUCCUGGUGGUGUCAACUAAACCCUCCGUCCCCAGGAUCAGCACUGGCAAGGCUGUCCCAGGACGGGUCUGGGUACUCCAGUCGCCAGCGCACUCAGGUACUCACUCUAAGUCCUUCUCCGCAGUUUUCCAUCAGCGAGUAAUUGGCAAACCCCCACUGAGGAGCAGAAGAGCUACUUGGGGCUGGCCACCAGACACCGUCUCGAACACCCUGGUCCUCCCUUCUGCUCCUCUCCGGCACGCGACCUGGUGACCUGGGACAAAUUCUGUUCCUCCCAGGGCUGCAUUUCCUGAAGAGUUAACUCUGCCUACUGCCAGAUAAUACCCGUGAUGCCAAUGACACAUUUUCCCUGCCAAGGCUGUGGCACUACUCAGGUAAUUACUGGCACUGGGUAAUAAUUACUCUUGUAAUUUUGUCAGCUCGCUGCGAUUCUUUUAAGAGAAGCUCUGUGGUUGUCUCAGGGUAAAUGGUUCGCUCGGAUGCGUCACACCACCCCAGCCAGGUGGCUUCCAGCUGGCGUUUGGGUCCUGUGCGGCAACAACUGCACCUCCCAGUGAGGGGAGCCAGAGGGGGUCCUCGCGGCCAACACGCACAGCGCCAGGAACCCCGAGGGUGCUGCACCGGGGACCCGCAGGCCUAGCCCUUCCGGCAGGAGCCACCCCCGCCGGGCUCAGUGCCCGAGCUGCUCCCGACUGUCGACGUGCCGCUGCGCCCGUCCAACCCUGCGGGCUCUUUCUCAAACCCUCCAAAGACUCACAGGCCAUCAAAGCCAAGAGAAAACAAGCCACACACCUAACUACCUGCGGGCGAGAAAGGCCAUCUAGAAUAACCCUGGGAGGAGCCAGCAUCUGGAGUCGGCUUCCGAUCAUAGCUUUGUGGGAAACAGACGGCGGAAGCGUGAGCAGCAGCCCGGGGCCUCCCGGAGGGCUGAGCCCCACGCACCCGAGGGUCUGUGGAGCCCAGCACAGCCCACCUGUGAUGACAGCUGACUGUGUGCAGACACCCUGGCCCCCCUCGACGCACGCGCCGGCGGCAGGACUUGAGAGGCACCGGGCCACCACAGCAGUCACCAGCAGGUACAGAUGGGAAUCCCACCCUGGCUCAGUCCCGUCAGGUUCCUCUAGGCUAAGCACUGAAGCGUCCUGAGUUCUGCCUUAGGUAAAAAGGAACUAACAGUGCGUGUAAUACGUGGGAGGGUGCCUGCAAAGAUUUUUUUUUUUUUUUUUUUGACAGGCAGAGUUAGACAGUGAGAGAGAGAGACAGAGAGAAAGGUCUUCCUUCCGUUGGUUCACCCCCCAAAUGGUCGCUACGGCCGGCACACGGUGCUGAUCUGAAGCCAGGAGCCAGGUGCUUCUCCUGGUCUCCCAUGCGGGCGCAGGGCCCAAGGACCUGGGCCAUCCUCCACUGCCUUCCCGGGCCACAGCAGAGAGCUGGACUGGAAGAGGAGCAACCGGGACAGAAUCCGGAGCCUCAACCGGGACUAGAACCCGGGGUGCUGGCUCUGCAGGUGGAGGAUUAGCCAAGUGAGCCAUGGUGCUGGCCUGCAAAAAUUCUGAAGUCGAAUAUGCAUGGAGCCCUAAGAAGUUCACAGAAAUAAAUACUACAAAACAUUA
Non-coding RNA from Oryctolagus cuniculus (rabbit), 6383 nucleotides. NCBI's taxonomy places the organism in Eukaryota, Metazoa, Chordata, Mammalia, Lagomorpha, Leporidae. The record is from RefSeq and is a predicted model, not a curated record.